This 446-nucleotide ribosomal RNA is filed under the name uncultured bacterium. RNAcentral describes it as "bacterial SSU rRNA". It matches the Rfam family "Bacterial small subunit ribosomal RNA", at positions 355 to 825 of the family's 1533-position model. The record is from RNAcentral.
UGGGGAAUCUUGGACAAUGGGCGCAAGCCUGAUCCAGCCAUGCCGCGUGAGUGAAGAAGGCCUUCGGGUUGUAAAGCUCUUUUACCAGGGACGAUAAUGACGGUACCUGGAGAAUAAGCCCGGCAAACUUCGUGCCAGCAGCCGCGGUAAUACGAAGGGGGCUAGCGUUGUUCGGAAUUACUGGGCGUAAAGCGCACGUAGGCGGAUUGUUAAGUCAGAGGUGAAAUCCCGGAGCUCAACUUCGGAACUGCCUUUGAUACUGGCAAUCUAGAGUCCGGAAGAGGUUAGUGGAAUUCCCAGUGUAGAGGUGAAAUUCGUAGAUAUUGGGAAGAACACCAGUGGCGAAGGCGGCUAACUGGUCCGGUACUGACGCUGAGGUGCGAAAGCGUGGGGAGCAAACAGGAUUAGAUACCCACGUAGUCCCUGAGCGGGCUGGCAAGGCGCAU